RNAcentral lists this ribosomal RNA (602 nucleotides) under uncultured Actinomycetes bacterium. RNAcentral describes it as "uncultured actinobacterium partial 16S ribosomal RNA". Lineage: Bacteria; Bacillati; Actinomycetota; Actinomycetes. The record is from RNAcentral.
CACCCCAUCACCGAAUGGUUCCGAAACUGCCCAUCGGCCGGACUCUCCCACUGGCCGGUGUAACCCUGACUCUAUGCCGGGUCUGAGGAUGCCCUCCGUCGUCACCCCUUAUAACGUGUUACCCGCCUUCGGACUACGUCGUUGCGGCGCACGCCCUACUGCCGGAAGCCCAACAUUUGGCGAAAGCGGACACUGCUUCGCACUCACUGCCAUUACCCAUUUCUUCGUGGCCGAUUGAUGCACGGUCGUCGGCGCCACUAUGCAUCCCACGCUCGCAACAGGCCUAAAUAACCCGCAUUUCCCGAGCAUCCACCGACUAGCGCAGCCUUCACAUUAGAACCCCGAAUUGGGACUCGCACGAAAGCUAUGCCCAACUGAACUCCUUCCAUCCCCUCUUACCUUAAGGACCACCUCGCCACCUUACGCGUCUAUAGUCCUCCUUGUGGUCACCGCUUCCGCCAAGAGACCCGGAAAGGACUGCGACUCCUCGCUUUCGCACCCCUCGCUUGUCCGAAUCUAUGGGACCAUCAGGUGCGACAUUUGCCACCCAUGAUCCACACCCCAGGUAAGGUGCCCAAGGCACGGCAUCGAUUGCGAAAUUC